CCUGGCGGCAGUAGCGCGGUGGUCCCACCUGACCCCAUGCCGAACUCAGAAGUGAAACGCCGUAGCGCCGAUGGUAGUGUUGGGUCUCC
This 89-nucleotide ribosomal RNA is filed under the name Escherichia coli. The record is from RNAcentral. Lineage: Bacteria; Pseudomonadati; Pseudomonadota; Gammaproteobacteria; Enterobacterales; Enterobacteriaceae.